This is an RNA transcript of Melospiza melodia melodia, 3333 nucleotides long. It is a transcript of the gene named neuronal PAS domain protein 2, with no coding region annotated. NCBI's taxonomy places the organism in Eukaryota, Metazoa, Chordata, Aves, Passeriformes, Passerellidae. The transcript is spliced from 19 exons. The record is from RefSeq and is a predicted model, not a curated record.
AGCGGCAGCGGCGGCGGCUGGGGCUUCCCCGCCGCGCUCCCGCAGCACCGGCACCCCAGAAAAAACUGCUUAGACAAUCUAAUGGAUGAAGAUGAGAAAGACAGGGCAAAGAGGGCUUCGCGUAACAAGUCUGAGAAGAAGAGGCGCGAUCAGUUCAAUGUUCUCAUCAAAGAGCUCAGCUCCAUGCUUCCAGGCAACACUCGCAAAAUGGACAAAACCACUGUGCUGGAAAAAGUCAUCGGCUUUCUGCAGAAACACAAUGAAGUCUCAGCACAGACGGAGAUUUCUGAAAUUCAGCAGGACUGGAAGCCUUCAUUUCUCAGCAAUGAAGAAUUCACCCAGCUGAUGUUGGAGGCAUUAGAUGGCUUCAUCAUAGCAGUAACCACAGGUGGAAGCAUCAUCUAUGUGUCUGACAGCAUCACACCUCUUCUGGGGCAUUUACCGUGUGAUGUCUUGGAUCAGAAUUUGUUAAACUUCCUCCCAGAACAAGAACACUCAGAAAUUUAUAAGAUGUUAUCUUCUUGUAUGCUUAUGACAGAUUCUGCCUCAUCUGAUUACCUAAAAACUGACAAUGAACUAGAGUUUUAUUGUCAUCUUCUGAGAGGAAGUUUGAACCCAAAGGAAUUUCCAACAUAUGAAUACAUAAAAUUUGUAGGAAAUUUUCGGUCUUACAGCAAUGUGCCUAACUCCACUUGCAAUGGCUUUGAUGAGGCUGUCCCAAGGGCUUACAGAGCAUCCCCAGGAAAGCAGAUCUGCUUUGUGGCAACAGUUCGCUUGGCAACACCUCAGUUUUUAAAGGAGAUGUGCAUCGUAGAAGAACCUCUAGAAGAAUUCACAUCAAGACACAGUCUGGAGUGGAAAUUUUUAUUCCUGGAUCACAGAGCGCCGCCGAUCAUCGGAUACCUCCCAUUUGAAGUGCUGGGAACUUCUGGCUACGACUAUUACCACAUAGACGACCUGGAGCUGCUAGCAAGGUGCCAUGAACACUUGAUGCAGUUCGGCAAGGGGAAGUCGUGCUGCUAUCGGUUUCUGACCAAAGGACAGCAGUGGAUCUGGCUCCAGACCCAUUACUACAUCACCUACCACCAGUGGAACUCCAAGCCAGAGUUCAUUGUGUGCACUCACAUGGUGGUAAGUUAUGCAGAUGUUCGUGUGGAGAGGAGACAGGAGAUGGGCUUGGAAGAAGUAUCCUCAGAGGUGGUGUCCUCAGCACUAAAGGAGAGUGGUGCCAGCUUGGAUCCUGAACAGCACUUUAAUGCACUUGAUAUUGGUGCCUCAAUCCUCAGCGCUAGUCGGACACCCUCAGUAUCAUCCAGGAGCUCACCAAAAUCUUCCCACACACCCAAGUCAGACCCAGCAUCUACACCAACAAAGCUGAUUACAGAGUCCAACACUCCCUUGCCGAGAGCACCGAGCGCACAGCAGGAUUUAUCUGUGCACAGACUCAGCCAGCCUACUGCUCUUCAGGUUUCUUUGCCUUCUCAGCUUCCAUGUGAGCUUCUCCCACAGCAGUUGCUGCCUCAAGCAACUCUGCAAAAUCAGCCUGCACCUCUGGCACAGUUCUCAGCACAAUUCAGCAUGUUCCAGACCAUCAAGGACCAGCUGGAGCAGCGGACACGGAUCCUGCAGGCCAACAUCCGCUGGCAGCAGGAGGAGCUCCAGAAGAUCCAGGAGCAGCUCUGCCUGGUCCAAGACUCCAGCGUACAGAUGAUCUUACAGCAGCCAACAGUGUCCCUGAGCUUUAGCAACACUCAGCAGCUGGACCCACAACAGCUACAGCAGAGGUCAGGGACCCUUUCUCAGCAGCAGCUUGUCCCCAGUUCUCAACUUCAAGGGCAAAUCACAUCUUCACAAACGCCGAACCAGCAGUCACUGAGAGAAGCAAGCGUGAUAUCGAGCCAGAUUGUUGCUUAGCCAGCCUAUUCAGCCCAUGAUGCCUGGGUCCUGUAAUGCAAGACACCCUUCAGACCUCAACAUGGCGGGAUCCCAGGCCAAGUAUUCUCAAACCCAACAAAUGUUUCAAAGUUUGGAAGUGCAGACUUCCAGCAGCAGCUCUCCAAUCGUACUGAUGGGACAAGCAGUGUUAAACCAAGGGUUCACCACUACCCCUCCUUCCCAGCCAUCCUCUUUGCCACCUAUGCAACUCCAGCACCAACAGCAUCAGCAGCAACGCUACCUGCAGGUAGGGCAAAGAGGAUGAUGUGUAAAGUGUGCACGCAGAGGAACAAGGUGAGUGGGCUGUGCAAAUGGGGCCCAGGUUUCUGCUGGAGCCUGAUCCUGGCAGAAAUGGCCAUUUAAGAGAUUCUGACGUGUGACACACUGCUACAGUGGCCGGUACUAGUACAGCAAGGGAGCAGUGGGAACAAUCAGAAUAUCUAAAGGAAAUUACUAAUUCUGUACAUUUAAAGCAUAAUCAGAUUAUCUUGGAUAUAUUUAAAGUUUAUUUCCAGCUGGAGAAAAUCAGUGCCUUAGGAUUUGUUCUGUUCUCUUUAUUCAGUAGAAAAUUUGCUUAGUUUACAAGUCAAAAGAUGAUUUUUAAUUACCAGCAUCAACAUAAAAUAGAUCUGGAUCAGAUAUCUGGAUCCCUUCAGGAAACUAACAUAUUUUUUCAACUCCACAAGGCAAAGAAGAUAAAGUGGAGCACGUUGCCUGGAAGAACCAGGUGAUUUGAAUAUGUAAAAAUAUUUAUUUUUGACCUAAUUCAACACAUACUAAAAUAAAGGGAGGAAAUGAGGUGUGUCUGUAUUAGUUCAACAGGAGCUGAACCGAGUCUUUGAAACCUGGUCACAUAUCCACUGGCAUCACCCAAAGAGUAUAACCAACCUCAAAUUAUUAAACUCUUGUUAUUGAAAUGAAAUCCUUAUCAUAGCCUGAGAAUUAAUGAAAAAACUCUGGCAGAUACUGUUUCCAAUAAAGCAUCUGCAAAAUUCACAUCAGCUUCAACACUGCAAGGUCACACCCAACUGUAAGCUCAGGAAAAGGAAGGGCUAGAAGGGACAGCAUGAGGCACAUUAGAAAAUGCUGUUUCAUUUCUGCCACCCAUCCGUGUCAUUUCUGACAUGUUCACCCACACGGUUCCCAAACCGUGAAGGCUGAAGGCUCUUCAGGAUAACCUGCACAUCCCAGGCAGUGCAUUACUGUGAGAAAACCAUUUCAAUGUUCUUUGUUGCAAUUUAUGUCCACUCCUUCUAGCAUUAGUUAAGCUAACCUCAUGCCAAACAGCUCCAGAAAUAGAAGCCAGCAAACCAGUAGUAUUUUCAAGCAUCCUGUAAGCUGAGGACAAAGAGCAUUAAUGCGUGAAAGAAUCAAACCCCACGAUAAAUUUUAUUUUAU